GGGCGUAAAGGGCACGCAGGCGGUCUGGAAAACGGUGAGGGCAAUCUCGAGGCUCAACCUCGAAACUGCUUGCCGAACUAUCAGACUAGAGCAUGGGAGAGGACAGUGGAAUUCCCGGUGCACCAGGUGGAAUGCGUAAAUAUCGGGAGGAACACCAGUGGCGAAGGCUGCUGUCUGGAACAUUGCUGACGCUGAGGUGCGAAAGCCAGGGGAGCGAACGGGAUUAGAUACCCCGGUAGUCCUGGCAGUAAACGAUGCUCACUAGGUGUUACCGGCAUUAACCCCGGUAGUGCUGUUCUGCUAACGCGCUAAGUGAACCGCCUGGGGAGUACGGCCGCAAGGCUGAAACUCAAAGGAAUAGACGGGGGCCCGCACAAGCGGUGGAGCAUGUGGGUCAAUUGGAUGCUACGCCAAGAACCUUACCAGGGCUUGACAUGUUGGGGCCCGCGUGAGAGAUCACGUUUUCUCCGCAAGGAGACCCCAUCACAGGUGGUGCAUGGCUGUCGUCAGCUCGUGUCGUGAGAUGUUGGCUUAAGUCCCGCAACGAGCGCAACCCUCACCGGAUGUUGCCAUCGGUUCGGCCGGGAACUCUUCCGGAACUGCCUGAGUAAUCAGGAGGAAGGCGAGGAUGACGUCAAGUCCGCAUGCCCCUUAUGUCCUGGGCUGCACACGUGCUACAAUGGCUGGUACAAAGGGUAGCCAAACCGCGAGGUGGAGCUAAUCCCCUAGAACCAGUCCCAGUUCGGAUUGGAUGUCUGCAACUCGACUCCAUGAAGCUGGAAUCGCUAGUAAUCGUGGAUCAGCAAUGCCACGGUGAUACGUUCUCGGGCCUUGUACACACCGCCCGUCAAGUCACGAAAGCUGGCAGCACCCGAAGU
RNAcentral lists this ribosomal RNA (878 nucleotides) under uncultured organism. Its description in RNAcentral is "bacterial SSU rRNA". It matches the Rfam family "Bacterial small subunit ribosomal RNA", at positions 556 to 1427 of the family's 1533-position model. The record is from RNAcentral.